CCUGACGGUAGUCGUAUGCUCGUCUCCGAGACUAAGCCAUGCAAGUCCAAGUACACGUCCUUGAACGACGGAAACUGCGAACGGCUCAUUAAAUCAGUUGCGAUCUACUCGGCGUUCCGCGCCGCCGGAUAACCGUAGUAAUUCUAGGGCUAAUACGUGCGAAGCGCCCGAAGCCGCGAGGCGACGGGCGUUCUCGCCGGAUGUAGGAACCGACCCGGGGACCGCCGGGGCAACCCGGCGCCCCCGAGACGGGGCGAACCACGGUGAAAUGACGGAUCGUCGGCCCCGCGCCGGCGACUCGCCGAAUGAGUUUCUGACCUAUCAACUCGAGACGGCGGGGUAGAGGCCCGCCGCGGUAACGACGGGUAACGGGGAAUCAGGGUUCGAUUCCGGAGAGGGAGCCCGAGAAACGGCUACCACUUCCAAGGAAGGCAGCAGGCGCGCAACUUACCCUAAUCUCGAUUCAGGGAGGUAGUGACAAG
Molecule: ribosomal RNA, 482 nt
Filed under: uncultured eukaryote
Lineage: Eukaryota
Description: bacterial SSU rRNA
Rfam family: Eukaryotic small subunit ribosomal RNA
Source: RNAcentral